This is a long non-coding RNA of Terrapene triunguis (Three-toed box turtle), 312 nucleotides long. RefSeq lists it as uncharacterized. The record is from RefSeq and is a predicted model, not a curated record. The transcript is spliced from 3 exons. NCBI's taxonomy places the organism in Eukaryota, Metazoa, Chordata, Testudines, Emydidae.
UUGAAUCUCUGUAGGUUUAACUCGUGAAUCAAAAUCCGCAGGGACAUCUUUGCUGGCUCAGGCCAGACAAUGUGCAGGGUACUUUUCAAGCCAGUCGCCGAGCAACGGUAUUUAGGAAAAUAAAGUGGCAGCCUGUGGGCCAAGCUUCCGCCUAAUGGGAACCGAAGUGGUGGAGAUAUUAAUCCCAGGAAAAAAGGACUUUCUAGUGAAAACCCUCGGGGACCCUUCCAUCAAGGGGAAAAUCAGGAGUAAAUCUAUUGAAGUCAAUGAAAUUACACUGGUGUAAGCAUGACCAGGAAGCUGGACAGUAGG